GUCCCAGAUUUUGGGACGAAUUUUUAAUUCGUCCCAGAUUUUGGGACGAAUUUUUAAUUCGUCCCUAAUUCUGGGACGAAUUCUGGAUUCGUCUCAAAAUUU
This is a small nucleolar RNA of Zingiber officinale, 102 nucleotides long. RefSeq annotates it as small nucleolar RNA SNORD90. Lineage: Eukaryota; Viridiplantae; Streptophyta; Magnoliopsida; Zingiberales; Zingiberaceae. The record is from RefSeq and is a predicted model, not a curated record. The transcript has a single exon.